UUUGUAGUAUAAUAUGGAAUUUAUUUGAUUUUCUAGGUGCUUUCUCCAAAGACAAAGGACCUUGGAUUAUUAAACCAGUGGCUUCUUCUAGAGGAAGAGGGAUAUAUCUUGUCAGCAAUCCAAACCAGAUUCCUUUGGAUGAAAAUAUUCUUGUUUCACGCUAUAUCAACAACCCUCUGCUUAUUGAUGAUUUCAAGUUUGAUGUCAGAUUGUAUGUCCUUGUUUCAUCCUAUGAUCCCCUCGUUAUUUAUCUUUAUGAAGAAGGCCUAGCAAGGUGUGGAUCUACUAGAUGCACAUAGUUUUUAGGCAUUGUGGGUUCAGAAUCUAAUCCAGUAUCACUGU
This is a long non-coding RNA of Erpetoichthys calabaricus (reedfish), 342 nucleotides long. RefSeq lists it as uncharacterized. The record is from RefSeq and is a predicted model, not a curated record. The transcript is spliced from 3 exons. NCBI's taxonomy places the organism in Eukaryota, Metazoa, Chordata, Cladistia, Polypteriformes, Polypteridae.